Molecule: ribosomal RNA, 407 nt
Filed under: uncultured bacterium
Lineage: Bacteria
Description: partial 16S ribosomal RNA
Rfam family: Bacterial small subunit ribosomal RNA
Source: RNAcentral
AUUGAACGCUGGCGGCAGGCCUAACACAUGCAAGUCGAACGGAGUGGCGGACGGGUGAGUAAUGUCUGGGAAACUGCCUGAUGGAGGGGGAUAACUACUGGAAACGGUAGCUAAUACCGCAUACUAUCAGAUGAGCCUAGGGGGGAUUAGCUAGUUGGUGGGGUAACGGCCUACCAAGUCGACGCUCCGUAACUGGUCUGAGAGGAUGAUCAGUCACACUGGAACUGAGACACGGGCCAGACUCCUACGGUAGGCAGGAGUGGGGAAUAUUGGACAAUGGGCGAAAGCCUGAUCCAGCCAUGCCGCGUGUGUGAAGAAGGUCUUCGGAGUUUAAAGCACUUUAAGUUGGGAGGCGUUACCAACAGAAUAAGCACCGGCUAACUUCGUGCCAGCCGCCGCGGUAAUUC